UGGCGACCGGCGCACGGGUGAGUAACACGUAUCCAACCUGCCGAUGACUCGGGGAUAGCCUUUCGAAAGAAAGAUUAAUACCCGAUGGCAUAGUUCUUCCGCAUGGUGGAACUAUUAAAGAAUUUCGGUCAUCGAUGGGGAUGCGUUCCAUUAGGUUGUUGGCGGGGUAACGGGCCCACCAAGCCUUCGAUGGAUAGGGGUUCUGAGAGGAAGGUCCCCCACAUUGGAACUGAGACACGGUCCAAACUCCUACGGGAGGCAGCAUG
Molecule: ribosomal RNA, 266 nt
Filed under: uncultured bacterium
Lineage: Bacteria
Description: partial 16S ribosomal RNA
Rfam family: Bacterial small subunit ribosomal RNA
Source: RNAcentral